AAAACACACACACUUAAAUGUGGGGGUUCUUGCAAGAGCUAUCUCCAAGCUAGAGUUCAUAAUUUUAGCAUUUAAAUUUUGCUUCCAUACCAAGAGUUAGCAGGGUUUGGCUGGUGAUUUGAUAUUGCAAUAAUAUUGUCCUAUUCAACAUGACAACUCUAACCCUAUCCAUGAUUCUCUUAGAAAGAGUCGGGAAGUAUUCAAUAAUUUGAGUCUCAUCAUUACAGGAAUACGGUGGCUACACAUCAUAUUUUCCCUCCCAUGUGAAUGCACCAGCCAAGUUGACAUUGGUGGAUAGUCAUGACACACCCUGUAACAGAAUUUUAUGGCUCACUGUUACAACACACCUCAGGUGCCAGGACGAAGAUGACUCAACGGAAGUGAAGAGCCAGGGAUUCCAGGGCAGUGUCAGAUCUGAAAGGCAAUCCCAGCACCAGCUCCUUGUCUCACACAGGCUUCCAGGACGAAGAUGGCUCAAUGGAAGUAAAGAGCCAGGGAUUCCAGGGCAGUGUCAGAUCUGAAAGGCAAUCCCAGCACCAGUUCCUUGUCUCACACGGGCUUGGCAACUUCAAGUCUCUCUAAAGUAGAAAGGAAAAUCAAGUCAAACGGGCUUUCCUGAAACUUGGCGUGAAACACCACGUGCCACCUUUGUUCCUGGAGGAGACACUAAAGUACUUGUUGAGGGGGGGAGAGAUGACCCUGAAGAGAAAGCUACAUAAAGUAUUUCCUGGUUGAAAAGGCUCUGGAAUCAAAGUCUGGAGUUUGAAACUCAACUCUGAAGUGCAUCAGUUGUGCGACCUUAGGGACUCUGGGCUGGAUUUGUGACUCGCUUGAAGAAACAGAAUGUGAUGGAUGUGAAUCUGUGUGACUUUCAGCUUUUUGAAAAAUAAUUAAAAGUCCUGAUUUAGAGCAUUUGCCAAUUUCUAAGAAUCUGCCUGAAAUGCAGAAGACACAGGAGAUGUAGGUUUGAUCCCUAGGUCAGGAAGAUCCCCUGUAUAGGAAAUGGCAACACACUCCAGUAUGCCUGCCUGAAAAAUCCUGUGGACAAAGGAGCCUGGUGGGCUAUGGUCCGAAGGGUUGCAAAGAUUUGGACACAACUGAAUAACUGAGCACGUGGUAUAAGUACUGCCAGCAUGACUGAUUUCGAGCUACCAAUGUGAUACCACAGAGCAUGUAGUUGGAAAGAGACAGGCAUAAAUGACCAAUGGGCUCCAGCAUAGCAUCGCUUCCAGACUUACUCCUUAGGAGAUCUGUCAGCUUCCAUUUUUGCUUUCUUGGAAUCCAGCUGACAUGAAGGAUCCUUGGGCUAGGCUCUUGAAUGAUGAGAGGCCAAAUGGAAAGAAAGGCCAUGUGGAGAAGAAAAGAAGCCUUAGGCGAUCCAUCCCUGGCUGGGCUCCCAGCUAAAUGCAGCUGCAUGCGUGGCCUCAGCCAACAUUCCAUGACAUGUAAGACCAUGCAGCCAACUCACGGAAAUGUGAGACACAAUACAUUGUUGUAGACUUAAGCCACUACAUUUUGGAAUAUUUUAAUUAGUCAGCAAUAGGUAACUGAACACAUGUAUUGCCAAGCCAUUGUAAAACAAUUUUUUACAUUUUACUCCUAUGUUAGCAAUGUGGUUCAGCUGGUAAAGAAUCCAUCUCCAAUGUGGGAGACCUGGGAUCAAUCCCUGGAUUGGGAAGAUCCCCUGGAGAAGGGAAAAACUACCCACUC
Molecule: non-coding RNA, 1710 nt
Organism: Odocoileus virginianus texanus
Lineage: Eukaryota; Metazoa; Chordata; Mammalia; Artiodactyla; Cervidae
Source: RefSeq, a predicted model, not a curated record